This 408-nucleotide ribosomal RNA is filed under the name uncultured Lactobacillus sp. RNAcentral describes it as "bacterial SSU rRNA". It matches the Rfam family "Bacterial small subunit ribosomal RNA", at positions 141 to 525 of the family's 1533-position model. The record is from RNAcentral. Lineage: Bacteria; Bacillati; Bacillota; Bacilli; Lactobacillales; Lactobacillaceae.
GUAACGACCUGGGAAACGAGAUAGCUAAUACCGGAUAACAACAGAUGAUGCCUAUCAACUGUUUAAAGAUGUUCUGCUAUCACUCUUGGGAUGGACCUGCGGUGCAUUAGCUAGUUGGUAGGGGUAACGGGCCUACCAAGGCGAUGAUACAUAGCCCGAGUUGAGAGACUGAUCGGCCACAUUGGGGACUGAGACACGGGCCCAAACUCCUACGGGAGGCAGCAGUAGGGAAUCUUCCACAAUGGACGCAAGUCUGAUGGAGCAAACGCCGCGUGAGUGAAGAAGGGUUUCGGCUCGUAAAAAGCUCUGUUGUUGGUGAAGAAGGACAGGGGUAGUAACUGACCCUUUGUUUGACGGUAAUCAAUUAGAAAGUCACGGGCUAACUACGUGCCAGCAGCCGCGGUAAAU